UCCUCAUUAAAAUGAGGCAGUCUGUCCAGAGUGCUUCGAACUCUCGUUCGAGUGGCAACAGGACACAGGGGUUGCGCUCGUUGCGGGACUUAACCCAACAUCUCAUGACACGAGCUGACGACAGCCAUGCAGCACCUGUGUUCAGGUUCCCUUUCGGGCACCGCUGCAUUUCUGCAGCGUUCCUGACAUGUCAAGGGUAGGUAAGGUUUUUCGCGUUGCAUCGAAUUAAUCCACAUAAUCCACCGCUUGUGCGGGUCCCCGUCAAUUCCUUUGAGUUUAAGCCUUGCGGCCGUACUCCCCAGGCGGUCAACUUCACGCGUUAGCUUCGUUACCAAGGAAUUACUUCCCCGACAACCAGUUGACAUCGUUUAGGGCGUGGACUAC
RNAcentral lists this unclassified non-coding RNA (384 nucleotides) under uncultured Gammaproteobacteria bacterium. Its description in RNAcentral is "contains 16S-23S intergenic spacer region". Lineage: Bacteria; Pseudomonadati; Pseudomonadota; Gammaproteobacteria. The record is from RNAcentral.